GUGCAUCGUGGACAAGUCCGCGGAGCUUAAGGCUCGUACAAACAGUGGUUUCAUGAAAGUGACAUUUGAGAGGAGUGAUAUCAGUGAAGGAUGACCCAGGCCUGGAGGACACCAUUCAACUUACAGUAUGACUCUGGGGUUUAACUUUGUGAUGGAAACACCUCUGCAAAAUAUCAGCACACGCUUCAGGUGCAGCUUAAACAAAACUUCAACAGCUCCAGUUAGAAAAGUCAAGUAGGGAUCCUCCAAAGUUGGAGUCUUUUGAGGACAGAGCUCCCUCUUUUUCCUUCUACACAGUUUUUCUGUUGCUGAACUGAGCGGAGGAUAAGAGUUUCAGUUUUUUUUUUUCCCUCAAGGAAUCAUUGUGUCACCAAGUUGGACAUUCAGUUUGAGCUCCAGUAGCUCCUUUGUUGGAUCAGACCACACGGGCCAGCCUUUGCUCCUCAUGCACCAACAAUCCCUGGCCGCCCAGGACCCUGACGUUCGUCCAUUUUUCCUGCUUCCAGCACAUCAACUUCAAGGACACAAUGUUCACUUGCUGCCUCACUGUCAGGUACUAUUGUUACAAAUAAAGAGUGUUAUGUGCUUCACCUGCUAGUAGUCAUAACGUUAUGGUACAUGGCUGUAUGUGCUCAUGGGUAUUAGUUUAGUUUCAGUAGCUCUGGUACUGAACA
Long non-coding RNA from Notolabrus celidotus (New Zealand spotty), 674 nucleotides. RefSeq lists it as uncharacterized. The record is from RefSeq and is a predicted model, not a curated record. The transcript is spliced from 3 exons. NCBI's taxonomy places the organism in Eukaryota, Metazoa, Chordata, Actinopteri, Labriformes, Labridae.